Molecule: long non-coding RNA, 836 nt
Organism: Bombus pyrosoma
Lineage: Eukaryota; Metazoa; Arthropoda; Insecta; Hymenoptera; Apidae
Exons: 3
Source: RefSeq, a predicted model, not a curated record
CACAGCAGUCACUGAACAGAUACUGACGUCAUACGAAGAGUGCAGAUGGGACAAUACGGCCGACAGAAGUUUUAAAUAUCUGGAGUGCGGAUAAAUUUUUACUGAUCCUCGCAUAGGAAUCUGUAAUCUUAAUACGUCACUCAAAUUUCCACCUACGAAGAAAAUGAGAAGGACAUUUAGAACUGGAACAAAUUUCAUUUUAUUAUGAAAUUGGUAUUACUUACCAAAUCCUACCGUUCCCCAUCCAGCAACCAAAGGAUGGAAAUUCUCGAAGUUUUUAUUUCGUAAGGGCUGGUCUAUGGGGAGACAAAUAGGUCGUAUGUGCUCUGAAAAGUAAGGAAAUAAAUCAUAGUGAAGAAAACGAGAGACGACAUGUAUAAGGAAGAAUUCUACACGUUUUAUAAUACAAUAUACAUAUACAGAUGGGCUCCGUCAUCAUCUCGUCCUAGAUCUAAGUCCCCGAUACGAACUACGUACAAUCCAAAAAUUUCUACGCAAUGUGCUGCGGUCAAAACAUGCCUAGCCGAUAUCAGGGAACCUCCGCAGCCCCAUAGCGGUUCCCCAUUUGGGUCAUCGCAAUCAAUAUAACCUAAUGCAGCGAUCCAUGGCCAAGCACCUGAAAUGCAAUAGACAUAGUUACGCAGAUGUAUAAUUUUCUCUCGCCUAAUGAGUUAAACGGUAUUAUUAUGCAUUCGAUAUUCGAUCAUGCAAAGGACGAUAAGUACAUACGUACAAAUACUCUCAAAUAGAGAUGACUUUAAUGUAAUAACAAUUAUUAGAUAAUUCUAUAUAAUUUCUACUUGAAUUAUACGGAACUCUAAAGUUCAAGCAUAUAA